UGCGGCCUACUCCGGUUGAUCCUGCCGGACCCGACCGCUAUCGGGGUGAGACUAAGCCAUGCGAGCCGAACGCCUCCAGGCCAGGGUGGAGGCGUGGCGCACGGCUGAGUAACACGUGGCUAACUUACCCUUAGGACGGGGAUAACCCCGGGAAACUGGGGCUAAUCCCCGAU
RNAcentral lists this ribosomal RNA (173 nucleotides) under Thermoprotei archaeon. RNAcentral describes it as "partial 16S ribosomal RNA". It matches the Rfam family "Archaeal small subunit ribosomal RNA", at positions 1 to 157 of the family's 1478-position model. The record is from RNAcentral. Lineage: Archaea; Thermoproteati; Thermoproteota; Thermoprotei.